UAUAGUUUCCGGUGUUGGUCC
This 21-nucleotide non-coding RNA is filed under the name Arabidopsis thaliana (thale cress). The record is from RNAcentral. Lineage: Eukaryota; Viridiplantae; Streptophyta; Magnoliopsida; Brassicales; Brassicaceae.